RNAcentral lists this transfer RNA (77 nucleotides) under SAR202 cluster bacterium Casp-Chloro-G1. RNAcentral describes it as "tRNA-Val". It matches the Rfam family "tRNA". Rfam says of the family: Transfer RNA (tRNA) molecules are approximately 80 nucleotides in length. Lineage: Bacteria; Bacillati; Chloroflexota; Dehalococcoidia. The record is from RNAcentral. RNAcentral also lists the same sequence under 1 other name.
GGGCGGUUAGCUCAGUUGGCUAGAGCGCAGCGUUGACAUCGCUGAGGUCACUGGUUCGAGUCCAGUACCGCCCACCA